Molecule: long non-coding RNA, 6816 nt
Organism: Mustela erminea (ermine)
Lineage: Eukaryota; Metazoa; Chordata; Mammalia; Carnivora; Mustelidae
Exons: 4
Source: RefSeq, a predicted model, not a curated record
GCCAUCUUGACUCCUCCCCUCCAGACAGCUGCUUUGGACGGCAUUGGAAGAUCUGUAAAAAGGAAUGAGCAGGCUUUGAGAAGCUAACUGUCCACUUAAAGCGUGCUGGGAAACCAGAGGGCUUCCAAGGCGGCUUUUGAAACCCUUUUGUCUCCUGCAGCUGCAGGGCAAACAAGGAAGAAAAUCAUGUCCAGGAUCUCGUGGUCUGGGGGGCAAAUCUACAAACAACACAAAAUGCAGAGCCUCCACAUGUUGGAUGUCAGAGGGAGGGCUCUGGGAGGGACCUGUAAGGAGGAACUGUGAGGAGGACAUCCGAGUAGACAGGCCUGAUAGAGGUGAAUGUGCAAAUGUCCCUGCCCCUCCUGGCUUGCAGAAUCAGCCUGCCUCCCUUCCUAGAGCAGAAAGACUCCUACUCAUCCUGAGACAAGCAAUGCUCUCAUCUGAGGUCUUACGGGACGAUACUUGUCCUCCAGAUCUGCCGCAUUGUCUCCAGGCUGACAAUCACGGUUGACAUCUCAGAACGAUCUGGCCAGGGGGAUGUUUGAUCUACAGGGAUUGCUGGUGAUGGGUGGUCAUGACCUUCCUAGGAGUGAGAUGGAUGGAUAGCUGGUAGACUGUCGGAUUCUCUCUCACUUGAUCUAACUGUAUUCAUAUACAGAAGGAAGGGCCAGUGUCCCUGUGGCCCAGAGAAAGAAAAGAUUUGUCACCAGUCCAGGCUGAAGUGAAAGCUAAUCUGCCUCUCAGGCCAUAGGACUAAUCUGGUUGGAAGGUUCUAAAUGUGUCUGUGGGUAAGAAUAUUGUGUAGCACCUCUUAAAAGUCUCAUGAGAAGAAUCAUAAUACGGAUCCUGAAGAUUCUGGGAUAAAGUCAUAGCUUUUGUAGGAGAGAACAAGUCGCACUUAGAAAAAUAGCAUGAUGCUGAUCACACAUAAACAUUUAGUCCUCAUCGUGGAACACCGAGUGACCAUGAGACAGAACUGCGCGUCAUGAGCUGAGAGCCAUCGGAUCCAAGUCGAAGGCCACGUGGGUGUGACAACAAUCCAUUCCAAAAUGGAAAGGAGACAUUCCAGGAUUAGACUGAAGUCAGCCCAGAACCCUUGAGUAAAUUACAGAGACAAGUGGCCCUGGUUCGCUUCCCCUAACCCUGUUGUGCCAGCAUCUUUCCUUUAACCUGCAUUUCUGGCAUCGCUGGGGAACCCUACGGCCGACUGAGAGAGGCAGAAAGGACUCGGGUGUGGCUGGUGUGAUAUGUUGGUUCUGGCCAGGAGCAAACCUCUGCUGUAUGGUCGAAAACCCCCACUCAAGGCUGCCCUGGACAGCAAGUGGUUAAAAGAAAGCUUCCCAUGGGCAGAUUUCAGAGCAUACACCAACGCUAGUGAAGAAGUGGCCUGCGGAAAGGGUAUAUACGGAUUCCCGAGCAGUGGAAAGUGACUGGAUGAGAUGAGACCCCCAUCUCAUACAACGUUUUCUAGAGCCAGGCAGACACUGAAUGGUGCUCAGCUUCCCUGAGUUGUCCACUGUUUUUGCCGUGGGGCAGUGAAGCCAUGGUGGCAAUGAUGGAAACUAAGCAUGGAUCCAAACCCACGGGCUCCUCUCACCAAGGCUGGCCUAGCUGCUGCCGCUACUGAAUUCCCUCCUUCCGGGAUCAGAGAGUGAUGCUGAGUCUUUGAUCCAGCCUCAACUAGGAAGGCCUGCAGGUCCGCCGGCGCCAGGUAAGUCACAUCCCACCCCGUCCACCUGAGUAAAAGCAGCAACUCACACCUGCCUAAGAUGAUGCCCUGGAAACAGGUUCGCCUUCCUGCCCACGCUACCUCUGUCAGCACUGCUGUCUAAAGGACCUGCAGAAUGUCUGCUCUACUCACACAGAGGUGACUUUCCCUCAGAGCAAAGGACGCAUUUUACAGCAAAGGAAGUAGAGUAACAGUCUCUCGACUAUAUAGUGCACUAGUUUUACAAUGUGGUCUGUCACUCAGAAACAACAAACUUGACGGAACAACGGAAUGGCAGAUAGAAGUCUCUGCUAAGGCGCCAGUAAAAGGACAAUAACCGUGGGCUUGGUCCUUCAUGGUGUAAUUGAUCAGAUGGAUGGAUAGACAGAUAUCCCAUAUGGUGCUGGAUUAACCCUGUUCCACCGUCAAUCCAAGUGACCCACAAGUAGAAUUGUAGAGUUUGAGUUUCUCAUCCCCACAAACUUAAUCUCUGCUAAUUUAGAGGUCUUAGGUCUCAGGGCCACAAGUUUCACUGAACUGGGGGCUACAAUGGCCACCUGGCCCCAAUGGGCUCCAUAUGUCAGUGAACCUACAGGGGACAAGAGAAGGACUUUUAAAAGAAUUGACUCAUGCAAUUGUGGAGAUACAAGCUCAAAAUCUGCAGCAGGACAGCCUGACAGGGUGGAGAUCCAGGGAAGAAUUGCAACCUGAGUCCAAAGGCAGUCUAUUGGCAAAAUUCCUUUUUCAUCAGAGGGUGUCUUUCAUUUUCUUUUAAGAACUUCAACUGAUUGGAUGAGGCCCUCCUCCCCUCCGCCCCCCGCACUAUGGAGGGUAGUAAGUUUUAUUCAAAGUCUACUCAUUUAAAUGUUAAUCUCAUCUAAAAAAUGCCUUCCUGAAAGCACUUGAAUAAUGUUUGACCAAAUAUUUGGGUACCAUGACCUAGCCAAAUGAAAUAGAAUUAACCAUCACAAAGAGUAAGUAAAUACUCAAACACAUUUAAAUGGAUUAUAAAGUUGUCUCUUUGCAUUGAGAUGGUGAAUGUAUUUAUUGAGUCUGGAACAUAAAUGCUUUGACUUGGUUGUUUAAGGCUAUACUUAAUAUACAUCAGAGUGAUUUGUUCUUUGUGAACCCCAAAGCAGGGUCUGGCUCUAAGAAUGGUCAAUGAAUGCCUUAAAGUUUUGUGAUGCGUUGGGAUUUGAAGGUGGUCAAUUUGUCCUGGUUUUCCCAGGACGUUUUCAGUUUUGGUGCUAAAACCGCACUUCCUCAGAGACUCCCCAGGACACCAGUCCCCAUAGUGUGCUGGGCUUAAAACUCCCUUACUUCCCAGAAGGAAGAAGGACUUAGGAGAGGCUUGUGCUGGCCACAAAAUAAUUGGUAUCUGACAGUGUGUGAGUUACUUUACGAUGCUUCCCACUUCCUCCUUAGAAAGGGGACCAGCAGUGGGACGUUGCCUCUGGGUGACUUAAUCAUUUAUGGGCCUAACUGGUGUUGUCACGAAGGAUAGUCUCUCAUCCAAAGGUUUUGCUUCUGUGGCUCUGAGGGCCUCUCUAAGGAGGUGGCUGCCCAGGUGGUGGGCAUUAAACUGGACCUGUGAUUGGUCCUGCCCUCCCCUAGGUCAUAGGGGCCCCAGUGACCCACAGCAGUGGGUCCGUCGGGGGGCCAGAGCCUUGCUGCACAGACACAUCAUUCCACCUUGGCAAAGACACACUCUGUCACCCACCUAUGGCACUUGACUGCUUCCCCGCUCUAUGGGCUUGAAUGGUUUGUAGAACAAUGUUCAAGAUUCUAAAAAUUACGCAUUCCUCUGUCCCCCUGCCUUGCUUACAUUUUAGGGCUGGGAAUUUGCAUGGUUAGGUUCCAGUUCCAGCUCUGCUGUUUUCUAGCUUUGGAAUGUGAUAAGGAGAUUGAAGCUACUCGAGCCUCUGUUUCCAAGGGUGUAACACGAGUGUAAUAAUACCGACCUUUCGGGGGCCAUGAGGAUUAAAGGAGGCAGAGAACAUGAAGUGCCAGCUCGUAGCUGCUUCAUAAAUGUGCACUGGCGCUUCCUCAGUCCGCCGCGAAAUGUUAAAGAAUAACAGAUGUAACCCAGCAAAACUUUGACCAAUUCAGCAAGUUCACUAUGAAGUAAGUCAUACUCCUUGUAGCUUGGAAUACAGCUUCUUUAUAAACAAUCUUCUGUCAGUUUCUGGUUCCUUUUCCUGGGGCUCUCUGUCCUUAAUUCUAUAUUGAUAUACUAUAUAUCUAUCUAUAUCAAUAUACUAUAUUGAUACUCUAUUUUGAUUUAUUGUUUGAUUUAUUGUUUAUCAAACAAUUUAUUGAUACUCUACAAUUUAUUGAUACUCUAUUUAUUGCCUGAUUGAUACUCUAUCAAUCAGGCAAUAAAUGGUUGCUUCUGAUAGAAAUUCAUCCGCAAGUUGCUUAAGGGGGAAAAGAAAGGGACUAGUUCCCUAGGUUAAGUGGGAGGUCCAGGGGUCGGGGGUCCAGGACUUUGGACACAUCUGGACCCAGGGAUACAUGUUGUCUUUAUUCAGUAACAUCUUCUGUAGAUAGGAGAAGAGGCCACUGCAAAUUCCAGGCUUCCGUGGUCCUUACCACUCACCAUUCCCGAGAGAGAGAGAGAGAGCGAGCCAGAGAGAGUGAGUGCCCUGCCUGGGGUCCCACCAUGGGUCCAAGAGCCUAGGUCGCUCUGAGGAAUAGAACAUUGUUGGAGGGUGACUUCUGUGUUCUUCACAACAAAGCCCCCAGGGAAGCGGGAAUCUCGCAGCCAGUCUGGAUAGUUCUGCCCUGCCCCCUUCCGCGGCUGUUAUAAAACCCACUUAGAGAAUUUGAGUUAGCUAUAUAUUCGAACUUAAAAUAUACCUAGGAACAAGGCAGACUCUCCAGUUUAUAUAAAGACCAAAGCCUCAGGGUGAGAAACCAGGCAUGUCAGCUGAGCUAUCGAGUAAACUCAGGUGAACAAACAAGGCAGAAACAAUAGCCCUUCCCGAGCUGAGUUUACACAAUGCAGGUACUCAGUGAAGGGGAAAAACUGUCCAGACGGGAGGCCUCUCUAGGAUCCUUCCUCUGUGCUGGACUUGCCAACGCAUUCUGGGUGGUAACCUGACCUUGAGUUUUGCACAGACAUCAUCUACAAGAGUUCAUUACCCCCCACCAGACAACAUUUACGCCAUUGGUUAUCUCCAAAGAAAAGAGCAGCACGGGAUUGGAGGCUGCCCUCAAUGGAGUUAAGGAGGCCAGAAGGGCAGCCAGCGACACCACCUUCCGAGCUCGGUCAGGAUUGCCAGAGGAGACAACGAAGUCACUGUAGCUCUUACUACUUGGCCAUUUGCCUUAAAUAGAGUGUUAGAUUCCCUAUCUGGGGAUUCUGCCCUUUGCUGGAAAGACGAGUUGACUGGGUGAUCUAAUGGUUUUCUCUCCCUUUGCCAACCACUCUAUGAAAUCCAUUCUUCUCGUUAUUGAGCAAUGCCCAGUGGCUCUUUCUGGACACGGCACAGGAAGCUGCAAAUGGACAGGGAAGAGAGACUUCUGCUAUGAUUUUUGCUUUUAUUUUAGUUUAAACAUUCUUAGAGGAUAGCCCAGGUUAAGCCAGACAUCCUGUUUACAAUGGGGCAGUAUUGCGGAGUGUGGGCGGGAAGAGGACAAUGCGCUCAGUCAGCUUCCUGCUCCACCGACAGGGCCACACACAAGCUUCCCCACCCCGGACUGCAGACUGAAUGCCGCUGAAAAGGGGGUUUGACUAGCUCUUUGGUACAUGGAUCUCCGUGUUUAUGGGAAUGAAUGUUAUUUUGUGUAAUAAAUGAUUAUGAAUUAUUUAUAUCACAACAGUCCUUGCUAAAGAUGACUACUUCUCUUGUGAUUUCCUUGUGAAUUUUUCUACCCCUUGUCACAAAUAAGGAUGGGAAUACGAGGCCUUGCCUUUAUACACGAAAUCAAUGGGAUUUUUAGAGAAACUUCUCUGGAGUGAACCAGCCAGCCAACCAACCACUAAGCAGCAGUGACUCUGGCAUUUCCCCAAAGAGAGAACUUAGAAGUGGCAGCUAAUUUGGAAGGGACAGCCAGAGGCCUUGUCUGGAAGGUGCGUGUGCGUACGGAGGUCGCCGUCUUUCUUUAGAUGACACAUGUCGGCAGGUGACACGGCUAGGGCUGCGGCGAGGCAGGAGAUGCCGGCUACCUUGGCAUUCCCGCACGGGGCAGACUUGACAAACCUAAACAAAUAAAGUGCAAACAAAGGUUUUAUCUCCCUUGACCAAAUUCCUGGCUCAGAUCUCACCUAGAUAGGAACCUAACACUGUCACCAUUCAGGUACUCAGGUUAAGCAGAGCCAAGAACAAAUCCCGGUGUCUCUGGACCUAAGUAUUACUGCUCCCUCCCUUCCUCCCCUGCUCCCGCACCCAUCCUGCUGCGCACCGCUGCCUGACACCUUGGCCAGGCCAUCGAGCAAGUCAGGAGGGUCUAAUUUAUUGGUUCUGUAAAGCCUGUGACAUCGCAGGGGCAAGACCGUUACACAAUCCCAAAUGACAAAAGCCUAAGAAAACCAGGUCUGUGUCUCCGCGAGUCGGCGUCCCCACAGCGCCCUCUGGUGUCGACGGGCGGUCCAGCCGCCAAACCGAGGCGAAGAAGAGCUUCGCAACUUGGCCAACCGCGAAAGAUUUAUGUAGUAGGACUGACUGUCCUUAGAAGAGCACUUUUUCGUUAAAAACCGUGUUGUUCCUAGCGCGUCACACUGUCCCCCUUUCCUCCAACCUAGCAUAAAAGUACGCAGGAGUUUGGUAGUCCACACAGAAAGAUGAAGGCAGGCAGCAGCCCAACAGGUAAGACAUUUCUCGCGCUCAUCAGCAACGAUGAGAGAAGUCAAACAAUUCUUAAGAGAAAGAAAAUGGCAAACCCAUCAUUUUUAAGACUUAGCUCAUUAUUUUUGCUCAGUGGAGCGACAUACAUAGGUUUGCCGUCUGUGGGUCUAUGUAGGUGCCUCACUUAGUUUAGCUUACUUUAGUGGCUUUUGGGCUGCACAGUCCUCAGUAAUUUCAAUCUACGGAAGAAAGGAGGAUUUAUCCUUCUCAUGACAGUUUUUGCACAAAUCACUUGUUUGUUACAGGUGGUUAUUUGCU